Molecule: transfer RNA, 88 nt
Organism: Homo sapiens (human)
Lineage: Eukaryota; Metazoa; Chordata; Mammalia; Primates; Hominidae
Rfam family: tRNA
About the family: Transfer RNA (tRNA) molecules are approximately 80 nucleotides in length. Their secondary structure includes four short double-helical elements and three loops (D, anti-codon, and T loops).
Source: Rfam
UCUUCAAUAGCUCAGCUGGUAGAGCGGAGGACUGUAGGUGCACGCCCGUGGCCAUUCUUAGGUGCUGGUUUGAUUCCGACUUGGAGAG